This is a non-coding RNA of Meleagris gallopavo (turkey), 737 nucleotides long. The record is from RefSeq and is a predicted model, not a curated record. NCBI's taxonomy places the organism in Eukaryota, Metazoa, Chordata, Aves, Galliformes, Phasianidae.
AGUUCCCAUACACCUAUGUAUAUUUUUAUGUUUGUAGGGAACUAACCUUCAGCUCUGUUCGUGAAAUGCCAUAGAAAGGCCAUGAUGUGCUCAGAGUGAGGGGGGAAAAUCAAUGUUCCUGACAUACCUAUGUUCAUAGCUGUGAAGCAGUGCUGUACAGAGCCAAGGCCAUUCUCAAUGAAGAACCCAAGGAACUGGGAGAGAACAGAAUUAGGAGAGGGGACUUAAACUGGCCGAAGGGGAUAUUCCAUACAAUAUGACAUCAUGCAGAAGUUCUGAAGGGGGUGGAAGGGCAUCUCAGUCUCUUCUGGAGCUCAGGGUACAGCUGGGCAUCAGCUGGAGAAUGGGGGAGCAAGCAAAUGACUAUGUGGUACUGAGCCACCUGCCAGGUUAUUAAAGGCCAAGAGGGCUCAUGACCGUGCUCUCUUAUCACUGGUGACAAUAAUGCAUUAAUCACCCCUGAUUGUUCCUAUGGCCCUGUUACAAGUGAGGGAAGCAGACACAAAGGCUGGGUGAAGGCAAACGAUCAUGCACUCUCCAACUGCUCCAGGGGAAUCCAGCUAGGAGGGUAUCCAGCAGCACUGGACGUGUGUGUCACUGUGACACUUAAACAUUGGGACUGAUGCUACUGCUUUCUAUUGGGGACAUUUGGAGCAAGAAACAAGGAGGAGAAAGAAUCAACAUCAGAAACUGAGCUUGCUUACUAAAAGUAAAAAAAUAAGAGCAACAUCUGAAAA